Molecule: long non-coding RNA, 264 nt
Filed under: Hordeum vulgare
Lineage: Eukaryota; Viridiplantae; Streptophyta; Magnoliopsida; Poales; Poaceae
Description: long non-coding RNA (HVUL_LNC000936)
Source: RNAcentral
CCCUUCUUUGACCCCCUGGUUUCCUAGGACUAGAUAUUCCUUCCCCUCCUCAUUUCUAGGUUUAUCAAUGGUUUGGUUGAUAGAUAGUUGAGCGUUUGGUCCUUCCGCUACCUCUCCCAUGGAGAUGAUGCCUCCAUGUUAGAAGACCCCCUAGUGGAUGUCAAGGCCCCUAUCCCCAUGGGAAUUGGGAUGAACUCAACCAUUUAUCUUACUUUCCCUUUGUUGUUCAUGUACCUUUGUGGAUAUUGCGUGUGGCGAGUCUAG